This 1160-nucleotide unclassified non-coding RNA is filed under the name Hevea brasiliensis (rubber tree). Lineage: Eukaryota; Viridiplantae; Streptophyta; Magnoliopsida; Malpighiales; Euphorbiaceae. The record is from RNAcentral.
UUUUUUUCCGGGUUCCAAAUGGAGGAUUCAUCACAACAGUAUCAACAAUGUGACCUCUCCAUCCUAAUUUCCUGACGUCACAUUGAAGAAAAUUUAUGUCCAGCUGCAGAUUUAAUCAUUUAACAAGUCAAAGAUACAUCAAUUAACCAUCAAUAAUGCAGCAUUAGACUAAGAAUGCAUCACAAAUCAUGAAAUCAAUAGCACUUCAGAACCAAAUCUGAUAUCUACACAUACACACAAGCAAAGUGAUCUUUUUCUCCGCAAGAAACCUAAUCCGUGAAAAUAACAUUGCAUAUUAACACAACACAAUCCGUAAUCAUAAUCUAUCAAAACAACAAUCGAUGAGUUUAAGUACCUCAAGUUCCUCUGCAUUUAGUGAUGCUAUCUCAAUAGAUUCAGAAUCGAUAUCAAUGCCAAUCACCUGUCUGUUGCAAAAUCAGUAGACAUAACAAGAAACAAAAGGGAGACCAUUGAGAUUGAUGUUCCAAAAACAACUCAACUUACAGAUGGAACUCAGAAAUAAUUCUAUAUGAAGUCAACUGACCAAAAGCAUCACAAAAUUAAACAACUACACUUAUAGUUAAAAAUGUAGAAACAAAAACAGGGGAGAAUCAAGAUGCAACUCACUCUGCGCCCAGAAGAGCAGCUGCAGCACCCAGUGUGGCACAGCCGCAGCCAAAAUCCGCCACUACCUUGUUGCUCACAUCACCAAAUGAAUUCUCUGCCUGCACAAUUAGAAAUCAGAAUACCCGGAAAAAGCUUACUCGUUUUAAAUAAAUUACCCAAUAUGCUCAUAUUGAAGAUUCCACAGAAAAUGAGAAUACCCAGAAGAGAAUACAAAUGAAUGAGUAAAAAGUGAUUAAAGAAAAGAAGAAUGAAAAACAGAUAACGUUAGUGAAAGGGAAGAAAGUGAUACAGUGUAGAGCAUGCGAGAAGCAAUGUGGGAUCCAGUUGGGUACUGCUCUAGCUCUAUCUUUGGGUUGGAGAACUGCUGAAGAUCACCUAAAAGGCUUUCUAAUUGCUUCAGUUUCAUAUUUCUUUCUUAAUUUCUCUUCUAUUUUGCUUUUCAGAGUCUGAAGGGAAGAGAAGAGAAGAGAUUCAAAGUGCUGGAAUUAGCUUUUUCUUCUUCAGAACCCUAAUCGAAAAGGUCUGGGAAUGAA